GAGAUGACCAUCAAGGCUGAAGUAUGGCAACACUGUGCUGUUUGAGAGUAAACGGAGAGACAUGUUGCCAUUGAAAAUUUUAUAUUUUCCAUUAUUGGAAGCCUUGACCACUUCAAGCAAGUUGAAAGCUGAACACUCCAAGCAUGAUGAAAUCCAUUCUCUUGCCUGCAGCAUUAGUGUUUGCUGGUGAGAUGACCAUCGAGGCUGAAGUAUGGCAACACUGUGCUGUUUGAGAGUAAACGGAGAGGUAUGUAUCAAAUUCAGUCUAUAAAUGCUGUAUUCUGUGG
Molecule: long non-coding RNA, 287 nt
Organism: Rana temporaria (common frog)
Lineage: Eukaryota; Metazoa; Chordata; Amphibia; Anura; Ranidae
Exons: 3
Source: RefSeq, a predicted model, not a curated record